AUUGAACGCUGGCGGCAUGCGUUACACAUGCAAGUCGAACGGCAGCACGGGAGCAAUCCUGGUGGCGAGUGGCGAACGGGUGAGUAAUACAUCGGAACGUGCCCAAUCGUGGGGGAUAACGCAGCGAAAGUUGUGCUAAUACCGCAUACGAUCUACGGAUGAAAGCGGGGGAUCGCAAGACCUUGCGCGAAGGGAGCGGCCGAUGGAGAUUAGGUAGUUGGUGAGGAAAAGGGUCACCAAGCGGUCGAUCUUAUCUGGUCUGUGAGGACGACAAGCCACACUGUGACUGAGACACGGCCCAGACUCCUACGGGGGGCGGCAGUGGGGGAAUUUUUUGGACAAUGGGGCGAAAGCCUGAUUCCAGCCCAUCCCGCGUGGCGGGAUGAAGGCCUUUCGGGUUGUAAAACUGCUUUUUGUUCGGAACGAAAAGGGCCUUUUUUUAAUUAAAAAGGGGCUAAUUGACGGGAACCUAAGGAAUAAAGCACCGGGUUAAAUACGGGGCCAGCGGCCCGCGGGAAUUACCGUAGGGGGGCAAGCGUUAAUCGGAAUUUUCUGGGGGAAAACGUGGCCCAGGCGGGGUUUUUUAAAAAAUUUUGAAAACCCCCGGGGUCAACCUGGGAACUGCCUCUUUUGAUUCCUUAGCUGGAGUACGGGAAAAGGGGGAUGGAAUUCCCGCGUGUAGAAGUGAAAAUGCGCUGAAUAUGCGGGGGAACAACCGGGGGCGAAGGGAAAUCCCCUGUACCCUGUAUUGACGUUCAUUCACCGAAAACGUUGGGGGAGUAAAAAGG
This 788-nucleotide ribosomal RNA is filed under the name uncultured Prevotella sp. RNAcentral's name for it is "partial 16S ribosomal RNA". It matches the Rfam family "Bacterial small subunit ribosomal RNA", at positions 28 to 776 of the family's 1533-position model. Lineage: Bacteria; Pseudomonadati; Bacteroidota; Bacteroidia; Bacteroidales; Prevotellaceae. The record is from RNAcentral.